This 89-nucleotide non-coding RNA is filed under the name chicken gut metagenome. Its description in RNAcentral is "TPP riboswitch (THI element)". It matches the Rfam family "TPP riboswitch aptamer (THI element)", at positions 6 to 99 of the family's 105-position model. From Rfam's summary of the family: Vitamin B(1) in its active form thiamin pyrophosphate (TPP) is an essential coenzyme that is synthesised by coupling of pyrimidine and thiazole moieties in bacteria. The previously detected thiamin-regulatory element, thi box was extended, resulting in a new, highly conserved RNA secondary structure, the THI element, which is widely distributed in eubacteria and also occurs in some archaea. The record is from RNAcentral.
AAGCUAGGGGCGCCAGAUUUGGCUGAGAGAUUUAUAAAUCGACCCUUGAACCUGAACUGGGUAAUUCCAGCGUAGGAAAGCUAUAUUAU